This 68-nucleotide transfer RNA is filed under the name Polygraphus poligraphus. RNAcentral's name for it is "tRNA-Trp". Lineage: Eukaryota; Metazoa; Arthropoda; Insecta; Coleoptera; Curculionidae. The record is from RNAcentral.
AAAAGCUUAAGUUAAAGAAACUAUUGACCUUCAAAGUCAAAAACAGAUAUUAAGCCCUCUAGCUUUUA